GAGGAGGAGACCCACCCGGUGGACUUGAGCUCGCUCUCCAGUAAGCUACUCCCAGGCUUCACCACGCUGGGCUUCAAAGACGAGAGAAGAAACAAAGUCACCUUUCUCUCCAGUGCCACUACUGCGCUUUCGAUGCAGAAUAAUUCAGCAUUUGGCGACUUGAAGUCGGACGAGUUGGAGCUGCUCUACUCAGCCUACGGAGAUGAGACAGGCGUGCAGUGUGCG
This 225-nucleotide long non-coding RNA is filed under the name Homo sapiens (human). RNAcentral describes it as "non-protein coding lnc-ZDHHC11B-2:1". The record is from RNAcentral. Lineage: Eukaryota; Metazoa; Chordata; Mammalia; Primates; Hominidae.